CCUGGUGGCUCAGUGGUAAAGAAUCUGCCUACAAUGCAGAAGAUUCGGGUUUGAUUCCUGGGUCAGGA
This 68-nucleotide transfer RNA is filed under the name Capra hircus (goat). It matches the Rfam family "tRNA". From Rfam's summary of the family: Transfer RNA (tRNA) molecules are approximately 80 nucleotides in length. Their secondary structure includes four short double-helical elements and three loops (D, anti-codon, and T loops). The record is from Rfam by way of RNAcentral. RNAcentral also lists the same sequence under 1 other name. Lineage: Eukaryota; Metazoa; Chordata; Mammalia; Artiodactyla; Bovidae.